AGAAUCAACGCUGGCGGCGUGCCUAACACAUGCAAGUCGAACGAGAAAGUGGGAGCAAUCCCACGAGUAAAGUGGCGCACGGGUGAGUAACACGUGACUAACCUACCCUUGAGUGGGGGAUAACCUAGGGAAACCUGGGCUAAUACCGCAUAAUACCUACGGGUCAAAGGAGCAAUUCGCUUUAGGAGGGGGUCGCGGCAGAUUAGUUAGUUGGCGGGGUAAUGGCCCACCAAGACAGUGAUCUGUAUCCGGCCUGAGAGGGCGCACGGACACACUGGAACUGAAACACGGUCCAGACUCCUACGGGAGGCAGCAGUGGGAAUUUUGCGCAAUGGGGGAAACCCUGACGCAGCAACGCCGCGUGGAGGAUGAAGCCCCUUGGGGCGUAAACUCCUUUCGAUCGGGAAGAUAAUGACGGUACCGGAAGAAGAAGCCCGGCUAACUUCGUGCCAGCAGCCGC
Molecule: ribosomal RNA, 460 nt
Filed under: uncultured bacterium
Lineage: Bacteria
Description: SSU rRNA
Rfam family: Bacterial small subunit ribosomal RNA
Source: RNAcentral